Molecule: ribosomal RNA, 766 nt
Filed under: Salmonella enterica subsp. enterica serovar Infantis
Lineage: Bacteria; Pseudomonadati; Pseudomonadota; Gammaproteobacteria; Enterobacterales; Enterobacteriaceae
Description: partial 23S ribosomal RNA
Source: RNAcentral
GGGUUGUGAGGUUAAGCGACUAAGCGUACACGGUGGAUGCCCUGGCAGUCAGAGGCGAUGAAGGACGUGCUAAUCUGCGAUAAGCGCCGGUAAGGUGAUAUGAACCGUUAUAACCGGCGAUUUCCGAAUGGGGAAACCCAGUGUGACUCGUCACACUAUCUUAGUGGAAGCGUCUGGAAAGGCGCGCGAUACAGGGUGACAGCCCCGUACACAAAAGCGCAUGUGCUGUGAGCUCGAUGAGUAGGGCGGGACACGUGGUAUCCUGUCUGAAUAUGGGGGGACCAUCCUCCAAGGCUAAAUACUCCUGACUGACCGAUAGUGAACCAGUACCGUGAGGGAAAGGCGAAAAGAACCCCGGCGAGGGGAGUGAAAAAGAACCUGAAACCGUGUACGUACAAGCAGUGGGAGCACAGGUUUACCUGUGUGACUGCGUACCUUUUGUAUAAUGGGUCAGCGACUUAUAUUCUGUAGCAAGGUUAACCGWAUAGGGGAGCCGGAGGGAAACCGAGUCUUAAYYGGGCGUUAAGUUGCAGGGUAUAGACCCGAAACCCGGUGAUCUAGCCAUGGGCAGGUUGAAGGUUGGGUAACACUAACUGGAGGACCGAACCGACUAAUGUUGAAAAAUUAGCGGAUGACCUGUGGCUGGGGGUGAAAGGCCAAUCAAACCGGGAGAUAGCUGGUUCUCCCCGAAAGCUAUUUAGGUAGCGCCUCGUGAAUUCAUCUCCGGGGGUAGAGCACUGUUUCGGCUAGGGGGCCAUCCCGGCUU